GCAGUCGAGCGAACAGAUAAGGAGCUUGCUCCUUUGACGUUAGCGGCGGACGGGUGAGUAACACGUGGAUAACCUACCUAUAAGACUGGGAUAACUUCGGGAAACCGGAGCUAAUACCGGAUAACAUAUUGAACCGCAUGGUUCAAUAGUGAAAGGCGGCUUUGCUGUCACUUAUAGAUGGAUCCGCGCCGUAUUAGCUAGUUGGUAAGGUAACGGCUUACCAAGGCAACGAUACGUAGCCGACCUGAGAGGGUGAUCGGCCACACUGGAACUGAGACACGGUCCAGACUCCUACGGGAGGCAGCAGUAGGGAAUCUUCCGCAAUGGGCGAAAGCCUGACGGAGCAACGCCGCGUGAGUGAUGAAGGUCUUCGGAUCGUAAAACUCUGUUAUCAGGGAAGAACAAAUGUGUAAGUAACUGUGCACAUCUUGACGGUACCUGAUCAGAAAGCCACGGCUAACUACGUGCCAGCAGCCGCGGUAAUACGUAGGUGGCAAGCGUUAUCCGGAAUUAUUGGGCGUAAAGCGCGCGUAGGCGGUUUUUUAAGUCUGAUGUGAAAGCCCACGGCUCAACCGUGGAGGGUCAUUGGAAACUGGAAAACUUGAGUGCAGAAGAGGAAAGUGGAAUUCCAU
RNAcentral lists this ribosomal RNA (632 nucleotides) under Staphylococcus pasteuri. Its description in RNAcentral is "bacterial SSU rRNA". It matches the Rfam family "Bacterial small subunit ribosomal RNA", at positions 57 to 672 of the family's 1533-position model. The record is from RNAcentral. Lineage: Bacteria; Bacillati; Bacillota; Bacilli; Caryophanales; Staphylococcaceae.